RNA transcript from Triplophysa rosa, 4349 nucleotides. RefSeq lists it as uncharacterized. NCBI's taxonomy places the organism in Eukaryota, Metazoa, Chordata, Actinopteri, Cypriniformes, Nemacheilidae. The transcript has 12 exons. The record is from RefSeq and is a predicted model, not a curated record.
UGGAGGAAGCUCGGCAAGGAAAUCAUUUUACACCUAACAGUGCAAAGCUAUGUUAACAGGUGACAAGAAAUUAAGUUAAAUGGCUGCAUUAGAUUGUAAAAAGAAUGUCUUUUUGUUUCGCAUAAUUGUCAAUGAGCAUGUCUUUUGAACGCGACUUUACCCUUUUCGUUUGAUAGCUAAAAAAGCUUAGUCAUUUCACCGUUUGGUUUGAAUAUAUGAACUACGCAAGCAAGUGUGUCCGGACCUUGGCUGUUCAACUGCGAAAACUACAAACUCUAAACAUGUCUUCUGCUGUGCAUGAAAAUGUGAAGAAUUAUUAUGGCUCUCGCCUGGAGACGUCAGAAGACUUGCAGACCAAUGCUGCGUGUGUCAUGCCCUCCAGACCGCUGGCCAAAAGCGCAUGUGAAGCCUUAAGACAAGUUCAUCCAGAUGUCUGCAAGAGGUAUUUUGGUUGUGGUUUGGUGAUUCCAGAGAAGCUGGAAGGAUGUAAAGUUCUUGAUCUGGGCAGUGGAUCAGGUAGAGACUGCUAUGUCCUCAGCAAACUGGUGGGAGAGAGGGGUCAAGUCGCUGGACUGGAUAUGACGGAUGAGAUGAUAGUUGCCUCACAACAAUACGCCCAGUACCAUCAGGAGAAAUUUGGCUACUCUAAAGCAAACACCGUGUUUGUGAAAGGAUACAUGGAGAAGCUCAGUGAGGCGGGGAUACAGAGCAACUCUUUGGAUGUAGUUGUGUCAAAUUGUGUAAUAUGUCUGUGCCCAGAUAAGAAAAUUGUGAUUAAAGAAGCGUACAAAGUUCUUAAGGAGGGUGGAGAGUUGUAUUACAGUGACAUGUAUGCAAGCAAAGUCGUUCCAGAUUCUUUCAAGGAAGAUCCAGUUCUGUGGGGUGAAGGAAUGGCUGGCGCCCUCUACUGGCAGGACCUCAUCACUCUGAUGAAAGAGACAGGUUUUAGCACUCCCCACCUGGUCGCAGGUAGUCACAUUGUGGUUCACAACCCAGAACUUCAACAAAAGACUGGUGAUGUUAAAUAUUCGUCUGGAACUUACCGGAUCUUUAAAUUGCCUCAACUUUCCAUCACAACCAAAGCACUUGUCACAUAUAAAGGCACCGUGCCUGACUGCGCGGACUGUUUUGAGUUUGAUGCAUCUCAUUCUUUCAAGACAAAUGUUCCCGUGCAGGUGGGUGCAGAGAUGGCCGCGAUCCUCCAGCACACACGUUUCUCUACAGACUUCAGUAUCAUGAUGUUAGACAUCCCUGACCCAAACUUGAGUGGCAACCCACAGUAUUGCCACCUCAGCCCCUUCCUCCUGGCAGAUAGACUGGGUUUAUCAGUGAAGCAGUGCUCAAAGACAGGACACUGAGGCAGCCUGCGGCGUUUGAGCGAAGCUCCUCAGACAUAGAAGAGCUGAAAGGUCAGUGAGUUCCUCGCUGCCACAGCGACUGCCAAGUACAGCCAGACACACUCUAUUAGAUGCAUAAUAAAACUGUUGAAACUCUCUCGCCGUUUCUCCCUUCUCACACACUCACUAUUGCAUGAUCCAAAUGUAAAACAAAUUCUUUCAUUACUAUCCAAAAUGUCUUUUUUUGUCAAAUAAAGUAUACAAAGCAAUCAACUUGUUCUGUUUUUCUUUUUUGAAGUACUGCUGAUUUGAAACUUAUCCACUGCAAUGAAUAUUUGUAGUCAAAGUGGCCCUUGCUUUUGUAAGAAUGACAAUGUCGAAGAUGUACAAAGUACACAUUGUACGCUUGAUCUGUUUUGGAUCGUGGAUGCAGAAACGUGUUUCUUCCAGCUAAAGGCAGAGAAUGAGAUCGGAAUCCUAAAAGGACGAAUUAGAGGGACGGCGGGUCAUGGAGUUCGGAAUGGCGUAGAAGCCCCGUGCUUACCUGACACAGAAAAUACCUGCUGCACAAUCCCUAUUGUUUGCUUGUCAGGGGCACACGAAGAAUAGCUCUUUUGAUGUUUUCCCGAGUGUUAAAGCUUUAUUAUGAUGUCCACUGAACAUUAAUGAGGCAGACUAUAAAAAAAGCAGCGUUUCUCUUAUGGUAUAUAUUUGGCAGACGGGCUCAGACACAGCCACGGGCCUGCAACACAUAUUAUCAUGAGCCUCGAUUGUGAAUUCAUUAGUCACUCCAGUUUUUUUCUGCCGGCUCUGUAUGCGUCAGAUUUGCGUCAGGCACAAACCCCACAACUGUGAGACCUAAGCCUAUACGCAUGUAAUGCCCUGAGACAGCCAAGUCAAACAUUCUUUGAAGUUGAGUGUUACACAGAGAUAUUAAGCAAUCUACCACAUAAACAUAAGUCUUUGUACUCUGCAAAGCAUCAGAAAUGUUCACGGAAACUCUGACAAAUGCAUUUAACAACAUUACAUUGAUACUGCAAUUUAUGCUACUUACUACCUCAUGAGAAAAUUAUGAACCCCAUAUAAUGUGCUUGUUUUAAAGAAACAUAAAACAGUAAGGACACUUAUUUUUCAAAUAAUUGAAACGUACGUUUCAAAGCAGAAUGUAGCUAAUACAUAUUGGAGGGAGUCAUGUUUUGAAGCUGUUCUGUUUUAAAGGGGUGGAGAGAUGACAUACUGUACCUCUCUCCCUUCACCAGGCCCCUGUCUAAUUAUACAUUCCAGUGAGAGAUCUCCACUCAUAUGACCUGUUCCCUACAUGCACAAAAUCAUAUGUUUAUCCAACUGUAAGUCAGCCCAGAAAGAUCCAAAUAAGAGGAAAAUGAUAUACAGUACCACUUAUAUGAUAUGUAUCUGUGAUCAUAAUGUAUUUUAAACCACAGAGCAUGAGCACCUUUGAGUGCUGUAAGUGACUUGCCAAAACCCCAAAGCAGAGGUCCAAACCCUUUACCUGGUCCAUAAGAGCAUUUGGCUUUGUAGGACGCAAAGCAAACAAUUUGCAAACAUUCCUACCUUUCAUCCAAAAGCGCUGAUGAUGUGCCCGGUGCUGCCUGCCAGCAUUCAGUAUUUUACGCGUUUCUGGUGUAAAUACAACAGGAAAUGUAAGUGCUGAUGCAAGGUUGUUUUUGUUCAUUGCUCAAGUGUUUACACAUGUUCUGAAGUUCACAUCUAUUUAUUUUUAGAGCCUUGGAGGAGCAGGCGUAUGCAUGUCAAAUAAACCAUGAGAGAUUCUGUGAAGAAAUAACAGCUGUCUGAAAUGAAUUACCUGCCUCUUUUGUCUUUGAAAACGGGUAACACUUUACAAUAAGGUGAUAUACAUUAACAUUAGUUAACACGGUAGGAAAGACCAACUAAAAUGAAUUAAUGGUAGUUAGUGUUAAUUUCUGGAUGUACUACUACUAACAGCCUACGCUUUUAAGAAAAAAAUCUGCAUUAAGGCAAUAUACCUUUAUGAUUGCUGUAAAGUCUUGCUCAAAAUGUUAAAUAUAUGUCAUUCACAUAACAUGUGUCUUAGGUCUUAUUACUUUUUAUUCUGGUAUAAACUGAUGUUCUAAGGUUAGGCUACUACUCACCUAGUUACUAUUUUCACGAUUAUGCAGCUCCAGUUCACUCCUGGCAGAAUGAGUCCUGAGGAUGGCGCUGUAAUGAACGACCAGUACAAAACAGUGGUCAAUUAUCUACCGGUCUUGGAACUACAGAAAGUGUGCACUCCGUCACUGAAGAUAGACCUUUCUCCACCAGAAACCAGAUCUGCAUGGCAAAGGUUCAGAGCUGCGUUACAUUAAUUUGAACUGAUCCGGUUCUCAGCAUGAGCUCCACCAGCUGCCACAGGGAUGCUCGCUGUAUGUAUUUUCUUUUCCCUAACCACUGUUUUAUUAUGUCUUGAUUUAAGAUGAGCAGAACAUGUCUCCGUGGCUCAAUGAUGUAAAUGGUAACACUUUAGAAUUUGAUUGUAUUUGUUAACAUUACUGAAUGCAUUAACAACAAACUAACAAUGAGCACUAAAAAAAACAUUACCAUUUUGAUUUUCACCACGGGGGACUUUAAAGGGAUAGUUGAAAAAAAAUGAAAAUUCUCUCAUGAAUUACUCACCCUCUAGUUGUUCCAAACCUGUAUAAAUGUCUUUGUUUGGUUGAACACAAAGAAAUAUAUUUGGAAGAAUGUUAGCAACUGAGAUUUCUAUGGCACCAUUGACUUCCACAGUAGGAUCUUUUUUCAAAAUGAGACAUUUUGAAGAAUUUAGAUAAGCAAACAGCUCUAGGGCACCUUUGACUACCAUUUAAAAUGUUCCUACUAUGGUGGUCAAUGUUGUCCUAGAAAUAUCAGUUGCUAACAUUUUUCCAAAUAUCUUUCUUUGUGUUCUAUACAGGUUUGAAAGAACUUGAGGUUGAGUAAUUCAUGACAGAAUUUUCAUUUUUGGGGGAACUAUCCCUUUAAGAUUGUUGGAUCCUA